RNAcentral lists this unclassified non-coding RNA (377 nucleotides) under uncultured Parachlamydiaceae bacterium. RNAcentral's name for it is "contains 16S-23S intergenic spacer region". Lineage: Bacteria; Pseudomonadati; Chlamydiota; Chlamydiia; Parachlamydiales; Parachlamydiaceae. The record is from RNAcentral.
UCCUGGUUAACCCAGGCAGUCUCAUUAGAGUUCCCACCUUAAAUGUUGGCAACUAAUGAUAAGGGUUGCGCUCGUUGCUGGACUUAACCAAACACCUCACGGCACGAGCUGACGACAGCCAUGCAGCACCUGUGCACCGACCCCGAAGGGAGACGCCAUCUCUGGCGUUGUCCGGUGCAUGUCAAGCCUGGGUAAGGUUCUUCGCGUUGCAUCGAAUUAAACCACAUGCUCCACUGCUUGUGCGGGUCCCCGUCAAUUCUUUUGAGUUUCAGCCUUGCGACUGUACUCCCCAGGCGGUAUACUUAUCGCGUUAGCUACGGCACAGCCAGGGUUGAGUCCGGCUACACCAAGUAUACAUCGUUUACGGCAAGGACUAC